Molecule: long non-coding RNA, 447 nt
Filed under: Nicotiana benthamiana
Lineage: Eukaryota; Viridiplantae; Streptophyta; Magnoliopsida; Solanales; Solanaceae
Description: long non-coding RNA (NBEN_LNC035879)
Source: RNAcentral
UUUAACAAUUCUAAUAUCAUACUCAUCGCUUUGUCAGUCAUUCGGCACAAACAUUUGAUAUGAUACAAUUGGACUAGAAAGGACAAUUUGGAAUACUCUGCGUACCCUUCGUAUAAUAGUUGAUUUCCAUCUUCGACCAGUUCAUAGAACUUUGCAUAUUCUUCAUUAUGCCCAUCAAUAUGCCCUUCAUUAAAUGUUUCUUCACUAUUCAUAGGCUCACAAGACACACCAAGCUCAUUAAAUAUUGUUCCCCAUGAUAUGCCCUUCAUUAAAUGUUUCUUCACUACUCAUAGGCUCACAAGACACACCAGGCUCAUUGAAAUUGUUCCCCAUGAACCCAAAUGCUUCGUUAACCAUGGUUACCAUUGGAUCUUGGGGCUGCAGAGUUUCUUCUACGACGUGUGUGCUCUGAAAUUUUUGUGGCAUAGUUGCAUUUGAUUCUUCACC